GAUGAAGAACGUAGCGAAAUGCGAUAAGUAAUGUGAAUUGCAGAAUUCAGUGAAUCAUCGAAUCUUUGAACGCACAUUGCGCCCGCCAGUACUCUGGCGGGCAUGCCUGUUCGAGCGUCAUUUCAACCCUUGGGCCCCGCAUUCGUGCGGGCCCCGGCGUUGGGGACCGGCCUCCGCAUCGGACGGCCGCCCCCGAAACCCAGUGGCGGUCCCGCCGCGGCCUUCUCUGCGUAGUAGCAUACACCUCGCACUGGAGAGCGGCGCGGCCACGCCGUAAAAGAAACGAACUUUCUGAAGGUUGACCUCGGAUCAGGUAGGAAUACCCGCUGAACUUAAGCAUAUCAAUAAGCGGAGGA
Molecule: unclassified non-coding RNA, 356 nt
Filed under: soil metagenome
Description: partial contains 5.8S ribosomal RNA, internal transcribed spacer 2, and large subunit ribosomal RNA
Rfam family: 5.8S ribosomal RNA (bases 1-120)
Source: RNAcentral